UAUAUUUGCCGCUCAUUCUUGAAAAUCAGGAAUUUUACAUAAAAAUUAUUUAAAAAAAUAUUGGAAUG
This 68-nucleotide non-coding RNA is filed under the name unclassified sequences. RNAcentral's name for it is "S15-Flavobacteria ribosomal protein leader". It matches the Rfam family "S15-Flavobacteria ribosomal protein leader". The record is from RNAcentral.